GGGAAGGUGGGGGACUGGGGAGAAGGUCCUUGUGACACAAGCAUGGGAAAUCUCUAUUCUGAAAAAAAAAAAAAAAUUCACAUAUGUCAUAGGUUUUUGCCCCCUGAUCUAUAAGAAGAAGGUUCUCGAACACAAAUCACCUGUAGUGCUUCUGAAAGCAAAGAGUUCAGGGCCCAAGAAUGUGUGUUUCUAAGAAGUUCUCAGGUGCUGAUGGCCGGUCCCCACACCGCAUCACGCUGCCUCGUAUCCGCUUCUGAGACCCUCACCACUGCACACUUCUCUUAUUGUAUUGAUUAAUAAUUUAGGAAUGUAGAAUGUCUUAGGCCUACUGUCAUACUUUCCACAUGGGACAUUCAAAAUGUAAAUAACUCUGUUCAUAACUAAAAUAUAUUCCUAGAGGCAUUCUCAUAGCUAGAUUCAGUCUUCUAAACUUUCUCAACUGUAAAAUGGGAAUGAAGCUUACAGGGUUAUUCCUGUAAUUAUCUAACUUAGGUUUAUAGAAACAUGAGGGAUAAAGCAAAUCAUUGUAAAAUAAAUCCUGUUAUCUCCAUAGAAACAUUACUUUAGGAUUGCUUUCUUGAACAUGGACUCAAAAAAAAACUGUGCAAUCAAAAGCAUGUUAUGAAAACAACGUCCAAAGAAUCCUAAGUCUAAAAGUAACACAAGCGUGAUCUGUGUCCUAUAAUAUGGGUAUACCCUGCAGCUCUACACAAUGCAAAUGUUUUGCUAAUAAGCCUAAACAAAAUGAAGUGCGGAGAGCAUAUGAUGAAUUCCACGCCAUCAUAAACUUGACCUUGCAUUAUGGCACCUGACAUGCUUGUCAGCCUAACCCUCAACAGGCACGAUGUUUGCUCCCUACAUUUUUGCAGGUUUGGGAGUGGGAGUAAGAUGAUUUGGGUAACCAAGUGCCAACUAUCUAGGAAGACUGGCAUUGAGGUCUUCUCUAUCUCACGAUGCAUUUAUUUCUACAAGGGAUUUCACAAUAAUCCCAUUGCUUGUAAAAUUGCACUCACAAUUAUUUCAAAAACAGCCAGUUUCACAUUUUAAUAUUUGAAUACUUGUCUGGCGUUUGGGGCAUGGCUGUCUCGUGAAUGUCCUUCCUCUUCACUUUUUUCCCUCUUUCCUCACCUUCCACACCCCAGGACACUUUGUGUGGUCUUAAAGCAGCAGCAGUUGCAUUUCCCCUGUGCUUCAGUUGUGUGUGUUGGAUCAAGAGCUUUGUUGACAGGCAAUUGUAGGAUGUAACUUCUGGGCAGCUGGUGUUUUUAGCCUUUUUUCUUCCCUUGACCUUGUCAGUUUAGGAGUGGAUGCAUCUAGAUGUGGGAAGCCAUCUAGAGGUCUCUGAACAUGUGUGAUAGUAAGUAGGUAGCGAUGUUUCUGCAGCUGCUCACCACCCACCCAGGGAACCCUGGACCUGGUGGAGGUAAGAGGAAGACAGAAAGCAAAGCAACGCCUGCAGCAUACCCCAACCCUAACCCUAGCCCUGCCCAGCCCUGCAGCCCACAUGGGCUUCAUUCUCACACCAGUGCAGAAAGGCAAGUUUUAUUACCUCUACUUUAUGGGAAACUGAGGCUCAGAAAAGUGGAGUCUUGUUCGGGGUCACCCAGAUGGAACCUGGAUUGAGACCUAGGUCUCACCUGCCUGAUUUUCACCGUAGAAAGUCAGAACUACCUAGAGAAUGAAAUCAGUAAAAUACCUAGGAACAAGGUGUUUGUUCCCCAGCAUUUCAGCUGGGAGCUAUUUCCCUGCACAGAUAGGCUAGUGAGUUUUAUCUAUGCUGAAUUAUCCUGUGGUUCCACCAAGGUGACAUGUAGUCUAAGCUGCUUUAGGUGUACAUUAUUAAAAACGAGAGCCUAACAGUCAACAACAGUGGACUGCUUCCUAGUAAAUCUGGGUGACUAACUUUGCCUGUGCCCAAUGUUAACCCUCGAGGUAACACUAAGUGUUGAUAAUCACACAGACAUUAUCAAAGUGUCCAGUCAUCCCAGUGGCUGGAAAUCGGAUCUAGAACUGAAUACCAACUGAGACCGCGGAAGUCUCAGCGGUCCUGAUGGAAUCUGAAAGUCUGUCCCUCCCACAGCUCUAGCUCAGUUCUUCCUCCCUCUCUUUCCUUUUCUAUUAGUUUACAAAAGGCUUCUUUAAUUACCCAAGAGAUGCUUCAGAGUCAGCUGACUUUCCUUGCAGCAUUUCACAUGUUUACCCAAUUUUUCUCUGGCUCUCUCAAUUUGAUUAAUUGCAAAAAAUGAAAUAAAAA
RNAcentral lists this long non-coding RNA (2254 nucleotides) under Homo sapiens (human). Its description in RNAcentral is "HSALNT0253487". Lineage: Eukaryota; Metazoa; Chordata; Mammalia; Primates; Hominidae. The record is from RNAcentral.